RNAcentral lists this long non-coding RNA (935 nucleotides) under Gallus gallus (chicken). The record is from RNAcentral. Lineage: Eukaryota; Metazoa; Chordata; Aves; Galliformes; Phasianidae.
CGGAGGGGGGUGAGCGUGCGCGCGCGCCGCGAAGGAAGUAAACAACCGUCGGCGCGCGGGCAGCUGCUGAGCCGGGAGCGGAACGUACUGCUGUGCGUGAGGGGCGGCCGGAGCCCGCGCCGCGCCCUUCCCCGCCCUGCCGGCCCCGGAGUGACGGGUAUCCACGCCGCCCCUCGGCGGGACGCCUUUCUCUGGCUGCGACGGCCGAAACCGCAGGCAGAGCCGAAGCUCUGUGAUCGGUGCCUUCGGGGUCCGCCAUUUAAAUAAAGUACCUGAGGCAAUUGUAAAGGGAAAUCAAGAUCCCCUCUUUGUGUCUCUUGAUCUUCACUGGACUAGAAGAACCUGUCAUUCGGAAAUCUGGAGUGGAAAGUGACCUGUUUUGUUUGUGGAAGCUCUGGAAUCCCACAGGAGAAGGAUCGCUCAGCACCAUGGCCAUUUGCCAAGUACAACUUGUUCUGAAACACGGUGGUUCUGAGAAGUUGCAUUAUCAACUGAAGCACAAUGUCAGCGUAGCAGGAGGAAUUUAAGUGAUUUCUCUGAAGAAGAGAGCAGGUUGUGUACAUAUAUGCAGUAGUAAGUAUAUGCAAAAAAACUGUAUGAGAUUCCUUCCUUCCUGGGACAGCUACUGGAACAACUACUGUUCAAAUCAAUAAAACAAAAGUGAAGAAAAUGACUCUAAUGUCAUCUUAGUACUGUGAUGGGCACUUGAAAAAUGCCGCAGGCAACAGAAAAUGUCCUCCUUUCCUACUUACAGGUUUUCUAUUCUAAUCAGACCAAAAGAGAAUUCUGGCUAUUUUACAUACUUCAUUACUUGUUUUAAAGCUCCUUGUUUUGUUUUCAUGGGCCCAUUCUGUGGUUUUCAUCCUGAUUUAUCAGAGUCCUAUUCUGUCUGACCUUUAAAGUACAGCAUGUUACUGCAGCAAAGUCAGUUUUCC